Molecule: ribosomal RNA, 430 nt
Filed under: Bacillota bacterium
Lineage: Bacteria; Bacillati; Bacillota
Description: Firmicutes bacterium partial 16S ribosomal RNA
Rfam family: Bacterial small subunit ribosomal RNA
Source: RNAcentral
UGGGGAAUAUUGGACAAUGGGCGGAAGCCUGAUCCAGCCAUGCCGCGUGUGUGAAGAAGGCCUUUUGGUUGUAAAGCACUUUAAGCGAGGAGGAGGCUACUUGGAUUAAUACUCUAGGAUAGUGGACGUUACUCGCAGAAUAAGCACCGGCUAACUCUGUGCCAGCAGCCGCGGUAAUACAGAGGGUGCGAGCGUUAAUCGGAUUUACUGGGCGUAAAGCGUGCGUAGGCGGCUUCUUAAGUCGGAUGUGAAAUCACUGAGCUUAACUUAGGAAUUGCAUUCGAUACUGGGAAGCUAGAGUAGGGGAGAGGAUGGUAGAAUUCCAGGUGUAGCGGUGAAAUGCGUAGAGAUCUGGGGGAAUACCGAUGGCGAAGGCAGCCAUCUGGCCUAAUACUGACGCUGAGGUACGAAAGCAUGGGGAGCAAACAGG